Molecule: ribosomal RNA, 456 nt
Filed under: uncultured bacterium
Lineage: Bacteria
Description: bacterial SSU rRNA
Rfam family: Bacterial small subunit ribosomal RNA
Source: RNAcentral
GAUGAACGCUGGCGGCGUGCUUAACACAUGCAAGUCGAGCGAAGCACUUACCAUUGACUCUUCGGAAGAUUUGGUAAAUGACUGAGCGGCGGACGGGUGAGUAACGCGUGGGUAACCUGCCUCAUACAGGGGAAUAACAGUUAGAAAUGGCUGCUAAUGCCGCAUAAGCGCACAGUACCGCAUGGUACGGUGUGAAAAACCGAGGUGGUAUGAGAUGGACCCGCGUCUGAUUAGGUAGUUGGUGGGGUAACGGCCUACCAAGCCGACGAUCAGUAGCCGGCCUGAGAGGGUGAACGGCCACAUUGGGACUGAGACACGGCCCAGACUCCUACGGGAGGCAGCAGUGGGGAAUAUUGCACAAUGGGGGAAACCCUGAUGCAGCGACGCCGCGUGAAGGAAGAAGUAUCUCGGUAUGUAAACUUCUAUCAGCAGGGAAGAAAAUGACGGUACCKACUA